RNAcentral lists this ribosomal RNA (205 nucleotides) under uncultured bacterium. RNAcentral's name for it is "partial 16S ribosomal RNA". It matches the Rfam family "Bacterial small subunit ribosomal RNA", at positions 336 to 526 of the family's 1533-position model. The record is from RNAcentral.
CUCCUACGCGAGGCAGCAGUGGGGAAUCGUUGCGCAAUGCGCGAAAGCGUGACGCAGCAACGCCGCGUGGGGAAGACGGCCUUCGGGGUUGUAAACCCCGUUUCGACGUUUGGGACGAAGUCUUCGUCGGUGAAUAGCCGGCUGGAGUGACGGUACCUUCGGAAGAAGCCCCGGCUACGCUACGUGCCAGCAGCCGCGGUAAUAC